Molecule: long non-coding RNA, 1753 nt
Filed under: Nicotiana tabacum (common tobacco)
Lineage: Eukaryota; Viridiplantae; Streptophyta; Magnoliopsida; Solanales; Solanaceae
Description: long non-coding RNA (NTAB_LNC014019)
Source: RNAcentral
UUUAAGUAAGAAAAUCUAUGGCACGAUUUCUGAAAUUUACAACUCAUAUCUAAUAACUUUAGUUGUAGUAUAAAGAUUUAUACUUGCCGAGCUCUCCUCUUUUUGAAACUAAAUAUAAUGACCACCAACAUGUAGACAAAGUGAAAAAGAUUAUUUCCAAGCAUUAUCUACGUGCGAUAAAAAAGCGAAUAAGUAACAAAGAAAGAAAACAUAUUAAGAAUAUUAUAGUUUGUAAGUAACUUACCCAGUUGAAUACCAUAAAGACUCGAUGUGGACAAAUGGGCAGAGUACGGCCACUUCAAUCAUAUGCCUUUUUUUGGGGGGUUAGGAAUUGCACUUGAGGAGGUUGAAAAGGUUACUGCUCUGGAAUUGAUGGAAAGCAAAACUGGAAAGCUCCACCACCAUAAGGAGUUUUAGAUGUCCCUUAAUCCAUAACCUAAUUUUUCUCAUAAUUGAGUAGUAAUUACAUUUUGUUUAUAUUCCAUAACUGAAAAUUUCAUCCGUAAACCUCAUUUAUUUUCCUUAUUAGUUCAUUUUCCUAGGUAGUAAAUGAGUUUUUUUUUGUAUUUAAAUGAGAGAUAAUAUCUCAAAAAAAAAAAAGAGAAAAUAAAUAUAUUGUGUGUGUAUUUCUUUGAGUAAAAAAAUAAAAAUUUCUGGAGUCCUAUGCUAUGACAUUAUCACAGAAAGAAAACAUACGGUGCUAGUGUGUGAUUGACAUCAGGAAAUUAAAGUGUUUAAAUAAUUCAAAAUGAAAUGUCAAUAUAAAAAAAAUAGGAAAAAUGCAUAAGUACCCGUUGACCUAUAGUCGGAUUUUCAACUACACAUUUUAUCUUUGCAGGAAUGCUAUUAUCCCUAGAACUAUUUUUAAAUGAAAUUAGUAUACUCUUAGUGCUUAUGUGACAGAAGAGAGUGUAUGCCACCCUGCUUCAGAGCGAGAAAGAGAGAAUGCUGAAAAUUUAUUUUUAUAAGUAACAUUUUUAUAAAAUAUACUAUUUUCUAUUAUUUUUUUCUUUUCUCUUAUUUUUCUUUUUCUUUUCCUUUUCUUUCCUCCUGCUUUGUAACUUAUAGAUUGGCCGGGAACUAGCUCUAGCAUUCUCCAUUUUUCCGGCGAGAUCGAGUUAGAAAAUUUUAUUCUUUCCUCUCCAUAUUUCACUACAUUUUAUAGAGGAUUACUGCAAUUUCUAAUCUCUUUACUCACCACUUUUAAACUUACAAUUGCAAUUGCUUCUCAUAGAAAGAAAUGAAAAAAUCUCAUCCAAGAUCAAUUUCUGAUUAAAUCCAGAAGAAGCCCACAAAAGAUUGAACAAGAAGAAGGUUUUUGAUUGUUAGUUGCAAAAAAUAUUCUCGUCAUGCUCGUCGUUUCCCGAUGAGGCCUUCAUCCUUUCACUACUUCAGGUAAUGAGGUGGGGGAGGGGAGUCCUAUUUUUUAAAUUAAUCAAUUUUACAUAAAAGAUAGAACAAGGAAAAAGAAUUUGGUUGUUGAUUGUUGAUUGCUAGAAAGUUUUUUAGGAACUCACCGUUUUUCGAUCUGUUUCUUCAACCAAAACAAAUCUGCUGCUUCACUUGUGGGUUGGGGGAUGGAAGAAGGUGGGAUGUGUGAAAAGGGAAAAAGAAUUUUAAAAAAUAUAAAAAGUGAGUUGGGAAAAGAAGUUGAUGGGAAAAAAAUAAGAAAACAACGAUUUUAAUGGAAAAUACAUGUGUGAGGCGCGUGUAUUUUAUCACCAAUCAUAGAUAUGGUAGUGACAUUUUAGAG